This 495-nucleotide ribosomal RNA is filed under the name uncultured bacterium. RNAcentral's name for it is "partial 16S ribosomal RNA". It matches the Rfam family "Bacterial small subunit ribosomal RNA", at positions 28 to 507 of the family's 1533-position model. The record is from RNAcentral.
GACGAACGCUGGCGGCGUGCCUAAUACAUGCAGGUAGAACGCUGAAGGAGGAGCUUGCUUCUCUGGAUGAGUUGCGAACGGGUGAGUAACGCGUAGGUAACCUGCCUGGUAGCGGGGGAUAACUAUUGGAAACGAUAGCUAAUACCGCAUAAUAUUGACUAUUGCAUGAUAGUCAGUUGAAAGGUGCAACUGCACCACUACCAGAUGGACCUGCGUUGUAUUAGCUAGUUGGUGGGGUAACGGCUCACCAAGGCGACGAUACAUAGCCGACCUGAGAGGGGGCUCGGCCAACCUUGGACUGAGACACGGCCCAGACUCCUACGGGAGGCAGCAGUAGGGAAUCUUCGGCCAUGGACGGAAGUCUGACCGAGCAACGCCGCGUGAGUGAAGAAGGUUUUCGGAUCGUAAAGCUCUGUUGUAAGAGAAGAACGAGUGUGAGAGUGGAAAGCUCACACUGUGACGGUAUCUUACCAGAAAGGGACGGCUAACUACGUG